Molecule: long non-coding RNA, 1660 nt
Organism: Carya illinoinensis
Lineage: Eukaryota; Viridiplantae; Streptophyta; Magnoliopsida; Fagales; Juglandaceae
Exons: 4
Source: RefSeq, a predicted model, not a curated record
CAACUUCCAUGAAAAAAUAAUAAAAAAAAAAAAUUACUUGUUCUGAGCUUCCAAAUGAGAAUAACUUCAAACCGGAUGUGGUGUGAAGAGAGAGUUUACACCCUCUAAUGAUCGGGCGACACAUCACAGUUCUAAAAAUAUUAAAAUAAAAUCAAUCUCAGGUGAUUUUUCAAUACAAUCUUCUCUCUCCCCAGUCUUCCUUCAGUCUCCCUCCCCUCGAUCCAUUGCAGCCUUAAGCAAAUAAUUAGCAAAUGGGUCCACCCGAAAAAACCUUAGAAACCCACCAGUACGCACAAAACAAAACACACUUUACCCAUGGCCGCAUUAUCCAAUUUCGGGCAUCUCGCUGCCUUAAGUUUCUUCAUUUUGUUCUUGGAAUCAUUGUUCAGUAACUAGCCUCUCCUUUUCAAAUUUGAAUUUCAAAUUCAACGUCUUAAUUUCAAUAUUUCCAGAAGACUAGCAGUAUCUUCUGCUCUCUCUCUCUCUCUCAAAAAUACUUCCACUUGAUAUAAUUUCCUGGGAGCAGAUAAGGGCGAUGAUGAUGGAAAUGAUUAGUAUUACUUGGACGAUGAGCUCGUGCCGUGGAAUGUGAGCGAUAAGGUCGGGAGGCAGAGGAUGAGGAAGUUGGGGAAGAGGGCGUUUCCAUAGAUGCACAACUCCAAGAGGUCUCCUUAUCUGUUUGUGACGCCUGGUUGUAUGCGUGGAAAGCAUGGUCUGGGUUUGACUUGGCUUAGUUUAUCUGGUUGCUGUGUAAUUCACUUGUUAUCUUUCAUUGUCGAUGAAGAUCAUUAACUUUUAAUGGAAAACUUGAUUGGUUAUUAAAAAAAAAAAAAAAAAAAGCACGGCCAGUCUGUAAAUACUGAAGGUUGAACGAAGAGCUCAGUAGAAUUCUUCCACAAUUGGAGAUGAUGCGGAAAAGGAAAUCUGAGAGAGGAAAUCAAUUCCUAGAAGUCCAAGAGAAGAUACAGAACAUCUCAAACGAGAUCUACGGAUCCACAGGGUAUACUUAUUUCAUCCAUGUUGGUAGUAGAUGAACGUGAUUUGUCUUUGAGAAAGCUUGAGGAGUUGCACAGAGAGCUGCAUGAACUUCUGAAGCAAUGGUUGAUGCGAUGGCUUCAAAAAUCCUGGCAUGGGAAGGAAAGAGGCAUUGAGUUCACAUAUGAUGGUGAUGAGAACCGAUCGAUACAAUGCUGGAAGAGGUGCGCAUCUUACUCUCAAGCGUGCUGAGAAAGCUUGCUCUUUGGUUAAUAAACUUCCAGGUGGCUUGGAAAAUGAGAGAUGAGGAGGGCUUUUACCAUCCCCACAAUGUGGAUUUCCGUGGCUAAGCAUACCCAAUGCAUACACAUUUGAAUCAUUUGAGUUUCGAUCUCCAUCAAGGAAUGCUUGAGUUUGCCCAAGGGCAACCUUUAGGGAAGUCUGGCUUACACUGACUGAAGAUACAUUUAGCAAACCUGUAUUCAGGUGGUGUUGAGAAGCUAUCACACGAUGGACGUCUAUGGGCACAUGGGUUGAAAGUAUUUUUAUGCUUUGGGUAGUUCUGAGAUGUACUUUAAUAUUGACAUGUAAUGGAUGGGCAGUUUUAUGGUUUGGGCAUUUCUUGUUGUAAAUUUGUAAAAAUUUUACUUUUGAGAAUGAAUGGACAGUUUCAGAUUUUUGUAUA